GGCCCCAUCGUCUAGCCUGGUCCAGGACACCAGAUUUUCAUUCUGGUAACAGGGGUUCGAAUCCCCUUGGGGUCA
Molecule: transfer RNA, 75 nt
Filed under: Chlamydiia bacterium
Lineage: Bacteria; Pseudomonadati; Chlamydiota; Chlamydiia
Also listed under: 1 other name
Description: tRNA-Glu
Rfam family: tRNA
About the family: Transfer RNA (tRNA) molecules are approximately 80 nucleotides in length. Their secondary structure includes four short double-helical elements and three loops (D, anti-codon, and T loops).
Source: RNAcentral